Molecule: long non-coding RNA, 1413 nt
Filed under: Phoenix dactylifera (date palm)
Lineage: Eukaryota; Viridiplantae; Streptophyta; Magnoliopsida; Arecales; Arecaceae
Description: long non-coding RNA (PDAC_LNC014704)
Source: RNAcentral
CUAUUGUUACUAACAAUCAAUAAAAUUGUAUUUCAUCUCUUUUCCGAAACAACAUCCUCCAAAGUCUCAGCACAAUUGAGUCGAGGAGACACCCCAAGAUUGAUUGGGACCUCCAGAAAGAAAAAGUCUCAAUAUAAUUGAGUUGAGGAGACAUCUUUGGAUUGACCGGGACCUUUGGAAAGAAAAAAGUUUUAGUAUUACUGAACCGAGGAGACUCUAGGAUUGAGUGGGAUCUCUGGAAAAAAAAUCUAAGCAUGACUAAGCUGAGGAGACAUCCUAGGAUUGAUUGGGACCUCCAAAAUGAAAAAUUCUAGCGCUAGGCUUGGAUGAGAGGAAGUAUACUCGGCUUGAUCAUCUGGGUAUUAGCUAUCCUGAAGAACCCAACCGAUCCAAGGCUCGAUAGCCUUUGAGGAUUGACGACUUCGGUCUCGACCUUGGACAAGUACAAUGGAACAUAGUUCAAUGGCCUCUGAAGAUUGACAACUUUAGUCUUGACUUCGGACUAGUACAAUAAAGCAAGGAUUGAUAGCUCCCGAGGACUAAAGUCUAUCAAACCAGCCUUUGAUAGGUACUAUAUAUAUUAUUCUCAAGGCUUGAAGACCCAUGCAAUAAUACUCAAUCUCUAUUCGUCGAUGUGACGAUCUCAAGUACUUCAAGCCCGUUUAGGCACUAUGGCUUUAUUCUGGUUAGUUUUAUAGAAUUCAGGUUUCACCUCAAUUCUUCUCUACGGAAUCAUGGCUUUCUAUGGAAUAUCUCGGUCACUUCUAUGGUAUUUUGAUAAUGGCUUUAUCUUAUCUCAACCAACCACCUUGGAUACUCUAGUCUUAUUUUAGCACGUUUGGGCCUUUUGUAUUCAUUUGAUCUUGUUUCUAAGAGCAUGUGGCUCUAUCUCGAUAUGCCUCCAAGGAUGUUGUGAUCUUACCUCAAUUUACUUCUAAGGGCUCUCUGAAUUAAUUUGGCCGAUCUCAAGCACUUAGAACUAUCUCUAAAGUGAUUACGAUUUUGUUUCGACUUUCUUCUCAUCGUUCAGUUUUACUUAGUUGACCUUAUAUACUUAAGAGUACUCUAGCUUAACUCGGCGGACCUCAAUGUUUGACCUUAGUAUCCAACCUCAUCGUCUAUGAGACGACUUCACACUCUCAAAAUAAGAAAUCAAACAUUCAGACAAAAGAAGAGGUCCACACAAAAAUGAUUCUAUUUCAUUAAUAUUUAUAACAUGCGAUUAAAAAGUAGGUCAAGGACCAGACGACACUUCAUUACAAAUGAAGAACGUCGGGACUGGUUGGGCUCCAGUUCUACAAGAUUGGUAACCCCAGUAGGGCCACUCGGCUUAGGAAGCCACCCUUCACCUCGUGCUACGCCUUCGGUGGUGUCAAGAAGCGCAAGAAGACCUAUAUAGAAGUCUACUCCUUU